GGAGCAUCUGGGGGCAACGCUGUCUCCUCAUCCCUGGCUGUGACCAGGUUCAAAGGAAAGACCAUCUGUGGAACCACUUUGCAGAGAGGCGUGGUCCAAACGCAGAGUGCUAUUGUUUUUCCUCCCCUCUGUGGAUCCCAGGAGGCUGAUUCCAUCUGUGUUCGAAUGACAGACUUGCCCUUCCUGUGAUAAAAUGCGGGCUGCUGUCCCCACCCCAACUGGGUGCUUUCCAAAAAAAAACAUGCACAUACACAUGUACAGUGUCCCCACCUCCCCAAAACAACCCACCACUAUCUCCAGCUCUGCAGGCCUGCUCUGUGGAGGCUGGCAGGUUCCCCAUGUAUAAGGCCCCUUUUGGGCUGUGGGCAUCCUACUCCUUAUGUGGGCAGCAUCUGUGGAUGACAGGGAAGGAAGAAAGAUACAGAUACAGAUAAUACAGACCUUCCAGCGAUUGCCACAUUCAUUGCAUAAGACAAAGGUAGUCAUGGGCUCAUCAGCACUGCGUGUCUGCACCUGAGAGAAAAAGAGAACAGGGAUCACUCAUGAAGUCACUUUCCUGCUCUAGGACCUGCUAUGGCUCCCACUGUCUGUAGAAGUAGAUCCAAAUCCCAGAGGCUGGCACCAUUACUCCCACUCCACUUUGGCAAUUCCCUUAUCACUAAGAAUUCCAUUGUGUAUUCAUAUGUUUUCCAUCAGCGCACUUCCAGUAUCUCCCUGGCUCAACCUGACGUUUGCACUCUCACUCUUUGUUGUUGAUUCUUCCGAACUGAUGUGUCUUCUCUUGCUUCAAGACUCAUCUCCUACUGGAAAAAUGAACACAUCCUAUUGGAUGUACCUCUCUGAUCAGAACUGAGUGAGCUGGAAGCAACCUUAGGGAUCAUCCAGUUUGUUGUUUAUUUUACAGGUGGAAGAACUGAGACCCAGAGAGGAAAAGGGAUUUGAAGAUCAUUGGGGAUAUUUAAUAUUGUUUUCUAGUUUCUCAUCCCCUUAACCAGACCAUUCAGGUGCAGAAACCAGGUUUCCCACAGCAAAUCCCUGGUAUUUCCAGAUUUAACAAUUGCUAUUCUGAUUUUCUGCAGCCAACCCUGGAUGGCCAUGACAUGUAGCAAGUUGUUGCUUUGUGGACACUCAGCUAUGAACAUGUCAGCUGGAGUCUAUGGAGUUGGGGGAAGUCCCCCUGCUAAUGGGAAGUUGCCCCUGGCCACUGACCACAGUGAGUUAUCUGUCCAGACACUGCAUCCCAGACAGGCCUCCCCACCC
Long non-coding RNA from Orcinus orca (killer whale), 1260 nucleotides. RefSeq lists it as uncharacterized. The record is from RefSeq and is a predicted model, not a curated record. Lineage: Eukaryota; Metazoa; Chordata; Mammalia; Artiodactyla; Delphinidae. The transcript has 2 exons.